This 116-nucleotide ribosomal RNA is filed under the name Microcebus murinus (gray mouse lemur). Lineage: Eukaryota; Metazoa; Chordata; Mammalia; Primates; Cheirogaleidae. The record is from RNAcentral.
CCCUACAGCUGUGAGUUCAGAGCAGUAACCACAGAGACUGCAUGAAGAUUAGGUUUCACACUGAAGAGCAGCGUUCUGGAUGGGAGACCGCCUGUGAGUACUGGGUGCUGUAGGCU